AUACUUACCUGGCAAGGGAUAAGCCACGAUGAUCACGAAGGUGGUUUUCUCAGGGCAAGGCUUGCCCAUUGUACACCAGAUGUGCGAGACCCUGAGAUUUCCCCAAAUGUAGGAAACCCAACUGUAUAAUUUGUUGUAGUAGAGACUGUGUUCAUUCUGUCUCCU
This is a small nuclear RNA of Cricetulus griseus (Chinese hamster), 165 nucleotides long. Its record names the gene U1. It matches the Rfam family "U1 spliceosomal RNA". Rfam says of the family: U1 is a small nuclear RNA (snRNA) component of the spliceosome (involved in pre-mRNA splicing). Lineage: Eukaryota; Metazoa; Chordata; Mammalia; Rodentia; Cricetidae. The record is from Ensembl.